RNAcentral lists this long non-coding RNA (215 nucleotides) under Elaeis guineensis (African oil palm). RNAcentral's name for it is "long non-coding RNA (EGUI_LNC071621)". Lineage: Eukaryota; Viridiplantae; Streptophyta; Magnoliopsida; Arecales; Arecaceae. The record is from RNAcentral.
ACAGUAGAUAUCCAAAGUAGACCGCCUACAGUAGGAGUUCAGAGUAGACUGCUUGCUAUAGAAGUUCGGCUUUCGCAGGAGCUCGGGUGGAAUCCGGAAGGCGGUCGACCGUCGUAAAAACUUGGAUGGAGUCUGGUUACUGUAGAAAUCUCAUUGUCGGAGAAGCUCAGAUAUUGAUGAAGUUUGAAAGAAGUUUGGAGUAGGGUCAUCUGUGG